RNAcentral lists this ribosomal RNA (503 nucleotides) under uncultured bacterium. RNAcentral's name for it is "partial 16S ribosomal RNA". It matches the Rfam family "Bacterial small subunit ribosomal RNA", at positions 30 to 523 of the family's 1533-position model. The record is from RNAcentral.
AUUGAACGCUGGCGGCAGGCUUAACACAUGCAAGUCGAGCGGGGUGAUGGUGCUUGCACUAUCACUUAGCGGCGAACGGGUGAGUAAUGCUUAGGGAUCUGCCUAUUAGUGGGGGACAACAUCUCGAAAGGGAUGCUAAUACCGCAUACGUCCUACGGGAGAAAGCAGGGGAUCACUUGUGACCUUGCGCUAAUAGAUGAGCCUAAGUCGGAUUAGCUAGUUGGUGGGGUAAAGGCCUACCAAGGCGACGAUCUGUAGCGGGUCUGAUAGGAUGAUCCGCCACACUGGUACUGAAACACGGCCCAGACUCCUACGGGAGGAAGCAGUGGGGAAUAUUGGACAAUGGGGGGAACCCUGAUCCAGCCAUGCAGCGUGUGUGAAGAAGGCCUUAUGGUUGUAAAGCACUUUAAGCGAGGAGGAGGCUCUUUUGGUUAAUACCCAGAAUGAGUGGACGUUACUCGCAGAAUAAGCACCGGCUAACUCUGUGCCAGCCGCCGCCGUAA